GAAUUAAGAUAUCCGGGAUAAAUGACUCAGCUGAGCUCAAUGAAGCCAAAACAUGUGCGUCCAGGCUUAAUUGGUUGCACAAAGACCAAGCCAGGAUGAGCAGACACGGAUUCAUUAAGCCAGGUGAAACCAAUCCUGGAUAGGUGCGCGCUCACGGCUCACUCAAAUAGACCCCGCCACAGAUCACAGAUUAACUGAUUUACCAUGGCAACUAGAGCCGCGUACUUUUCCCCGUCGGAAGCACAAAUCCUCAUGGAGGCAUACGAGGAGGUAAAAGAUAUAAUUAAGAAGAAAGGCAACACCGCCACAGUGAUAAAGCAAAGAAAAAGCGUGGCAAAGUAUUGCAGACCGCCUGAAUGCGUAAGUAGUGCACAAUUACACACUCACCGCUCCGCUGAAACAUCACAAUUACAAUUCAAAUAUUUAAUUCACAUCUCCAAAAAUGCAGUUGUACUGUAAUUAUGAAACGGUUACAUUUUUAAUUGAAAUGCACUGCAGAUAUGAGUGAAAUUGUGUAAAGUAACUCCAUCACACUGUAUAAAGCUAUGAUAAAUUUUUUGAUAUUUUUUACUGAAAACAAGACAAAAAUACCAAGUAAUUUUUUGCAGUGUGACUCCAUUAAAUGUGUGUGUGUGUGUGUGUGUGUGUGUGUGUGUGUGUGUGUGUGUGUGUGUGUGUGUAGAUUAAACAUGAACGGGCCAAAAUGGACAUGGCAGCAGGUCAAAAUCAAAUACAAGAACAUUCUGCAGAAUGCAGUGAAAAAGAAUACCCACAGACAAGGCACGGGUGGUGGGUCACCAAAGGCUGACCUUACCCCAGCAGAGGACAUGGCCUUGGAGCUAAAUAAAGGCAGGCCCGUCUUAGAGGGGAUCCCUGGGGGGAAAGAGACGAGCAUAGGUUCCUCCCAAGAUGCCACCCGCUUCAUUCAAGUGCCUGGCAGCAUUGUGUUCCUGUUAGAGCCACCAGCACAAGCACCAGACGAUGCUGAUCCAGGUGAAGGCCCCAGUGCAGCAGCAACAGCACAUGAUGGAGACGAUGAUGAGGAGGAGACCAUCUCUCUGGAUUCCAGAAGGCAUGAGGACCCAGAUGCUAUACAGUGGGAAAACCAGCCUGGCAACAUAGUGCAUAUUAAUAAAAGGACACCACAUCCUGCCAAAUUCCAGCUGCGCUAAUUGUAUUGUGUUCAGAGCUCACAAGCUAUCAGAAAGUUGUAUGGCAACCACCUCCGGCGCCAAAUAGAACUGGCAGACAUAGACAUUCAGUACAAGAAGAAAAAGAUGGAAAAUCUUGCACUGGAGUCCGAAAUAAAAAAGAGGACAAUUAGGAAACUGGACCUUGAAAUAAAAAAACUUGAGAGGGAGCUCCAAGAAGAUGACACAGCUCAAAAUAAAAAUUAGGUAUAUUCUCGUAAAGUCAAGUGAGCCAUGACAUAUGAGCUCUUAUUGUGAGCACACAGGACGGUGGCAUCUUUCUAAGGUUUUUUUUAUUUUCCCAGCAAUCAGUACAACCAAGUCAUCGUUAUAAGGCAUCGCCCUCUUUUGCCCACCCCCCCAGCACCAGGUGUGGCCACUAGCCUAUAUGAAGGCCCAAAAUUGUGUGUUCCUUUCUGCUCUGACAAUGGCAUGCCCAUUCGUGCGAGAUGUGGUGGAUGAAGAAGCACUUGUGCUGAGGAGAGCCUUCAGGCGAGAAAGGGUCUUCAGGGCCGGUUGGACCCACUGGCCUUCCCUGAUGACCAUCUAUAUGAAAGAUACAGGUUUUCUGCAGAUGGCAUCAGGUAUCUAUGCAGACUACUGGGUCCCAGGAUUAAGCACCGCACUGCACGGAGCCAUGCACUGAGUGUGGAGCAAAUGGUUUGUGUGGCCUUGCGCUUUUUGCUAGUGGAGCCUUCCUG
Molecule: long non-coding RNA, 1891 nt
Organism: Oncorhynchus nerka (sockeye salmon)
Lineage: Eukaryota; Metazoa; Chordata; Actinopteri; Salmoniformes; Salmonidae
Exons: 6
Source: RefSeq, a predicted model, not a curated record